This 28-nucleotide non-coding RNA is filed under the name Cricetulus griseus (Chinese hamster). The record is from RNAcentral. Lineage: Eukaryota; Metazoa; Chordata; Mammalia; Rodentia; Cricetidae.
CUGGUGAAGAGAAACUGAAAAGAAGAAA